Molecule: small nuclear RNA, 158 nt
Organism: Cricetulus griseus (Chinese hamster)
Lineage: Eukaryota; Metazoa; Chordata; Mammalia; Rodentia; Cricetidae
Gene: U1
Rfam family: U1 spliceosomal RNA
About the family: U1 is a small nuclear RNA (snRNA) component of the spliceosome (involved in pre-mRNA splicing).
Source: Ensembl
AUACUUAUGUGCUAGGGGAGUUACCAUGAUCAUGAUGAUUUUCCCAAGGUGAGGCUUAUCCAUACCAGUACAGAUGUACUGACCCUGUGAUUUCCUCAAAUGCAAAAAGGCUCUGCUGCAUAAUUUAUAUUAAUGGAGAUUGCAUCUGCACUCUCCCC